GGAAAAAGGUCCAACAUAGGCAACAAACUCCAGUUGUCCGUCUGUCACUAAGUAGUUAGACAAAAGCAUUAUCUUAUCUAAACUAAAGAUUUGCAUGUUUUGUCAUUUGUACGACUUUUCCAUCUGUCAACGUGAGAAGCUAUACCGUAAGUUAAAUUAUGAAUAUGUUCUACUGUAGUAUGCAGUGCAAAUGUUACAACAUUGGACAGUUAAAAAAAUGUAUGUCACUGAAGUAGAUUAAUAGAUAUUAUUAACCCAUCUAAAGAAUUUUUAUUUUUCCUAUGUCAUUCAAAGUUUUAAGGUUUCUUUGUGGAUAUGAAUUUUG
Molecule: unclassified non-coding RNA, 325 nt
Filed under: Hevea brasiliensis (rubber tree)
Lineage: Eukaryota; Viridiplantae; Streptophyta; Magnoliopsida; Malpighiales; Euphorbiaceae
Source: RNAcentral